UACGGGGGGGGCAAGCGUUGUUCGGAAUUACUGGGCGUAAAGGGUUCGUAGGUGGCUCGCUAAGUCAGACGUGAAAUCCCUCAGCUUAACUGGGGAACUGCGUCUGAGACUGGCAAGCUCGAGUGCAGGAGAGGAACGCGGAAUUCCAGGUGUAGCGGUGAAAUGCGUAGAUAUCUGGAGGAACACCGGUGGCGAAGGCGGCAUCCUGGACCACGACUGACGCUGAGUGAGCGAAAGCCAGGGGAGCAAACGGG
This 254-nucleotide ribosomal RNA is filed under the name uncultured bacterium. RNAcentral's name for it is "partial 16S ribosomal RNA". It matches the Rfam family "Bacterial small subunit ribosomal RNA", at positions 524 to 776 of the family's 1533-position model. The record is from RNAcentral.